UACGGAGGGUGCAAGCGUUACUCGGAAUCACUGGGCGUAAAGAGCGCGUAGGCGGGAUAGCAAGUCAGAUGUGAAAUCCUAUGGCUUAACCAUAGAACUGCAUUUGAAACUGUUAUUCUAGAGUAUGGGAGAGGUAGGCGGAAUUCCCGGUGUAGCGGUGAAAUGCGUAGAGAUCGGGAGGAACACCAGUGGCGAAGGCGGCCUACUGGGCUUUAACUGACGCUGAGGCACGAAAGCGUGGGUAGCAAACAGG
RNAcentral lists this ribosomal RNA (253 nucleotides) under uncultured Helicobacteraceae bacterium. RNAcentral's name for it is "partial 16S ribosomal RNA". It matches the Rfam family "Bacterial small subunit ribosomal RNA", at positions 524 to 776 of the family's 1533-position model. Lineage: Bacteria; Pseudomonadati; Campylobacterota; Epsilonproteobacteria; Campylobacterales; Helicobacteraceae. The record is from RNAcentral.